This is a long non-coding RNA of Triticum dicoccoides, 584 nucleotides long. RefSeq lists it as uncharacterized. The transcript has 4 exons. Lineage: Eukaryota; Viridiplantae; Streptophyta; Magnoliopsida; Poales; Poaceae. The record is from RefSeq and is a predicted model, not a curated record.
AUUCAUAUUUUCUACAUUUCUUUCGGAUGUUUGAUGAUAUAUCUGAACUUAUUCAUAAACCUACCUUUGAUGUUAGGCUCAAUUAUUCCUAAAUUUGGUGUUGACUAUCCCACGAUUUCAAGCUGACUAUCCCACGAGACAAUUUCUCGACCCAACCAACAAUGGUUCAUAGAAUUUGGGUGUAUUCUCCCGUUGCAACGCAGGGCACCUUUACUAUAUGUCGAGUUAUGGUUUCAUGAUAAACGGAGCACGCACCAAAUUUUGAUGAAUUGCUUGAAGAAAAUGCAUCGGGUCUUUUCUUGCGUCCUUCAAGUCUUCAACCAGGAUACAUUUCUAGAGCUAAAAUUUCAGGGCAUCAAGAAGUAAUUAACUAUGCUUCAAAAGUUAUUGAGCUGCAGAUAUGGCAUGUGCGUACACGAAGACCUGAUGCAUCAAAGCUCGGUGUGGACACACCUCUUCUUACAGGACAGAUGUUGAUUUUUCAUUUCCUUCCAACGCCAUUAAAUCCCAGUCUUAUCUAAUUUGAAAUGUCUCCAGCGUGUGUGAUGUAUCCCUCCCCUCAGCUUUUGGACGAACAUGGUGCU